RNAcentral lists this ribosomal RNA (497 nucleotides) under uncultured bacterium. RNAcentral's name for it is "partial 16S ribosomal RNA". It matches the Rfam family "Bacterial small subunit ribosomal RNA", at positions 28 to 507 of the family's 1533-position model. The record is from RNAcentral.
GAUGAACGCUGGCGGCGUGCCUAAUACAUGCAAGUCGAGCGAACGGACGAGAAGCUUGCUUCUCUGAUGUUAGCGGCGGACGGGUGAGUAACACGUGGAUAACCUACCUAUAAGACUGGGAUAACUUCGGGAAACCGGAGCCAAUACCGGAUAAUAUUUUGAACCGCAUGGUUCAAAAGUGAAAGACGGUCUUGCUGUCACUUAUAGAUGGAUCCGCGCUGCAUUAGCUAGUUGGUAAGGUAACGGCUUACCAAGGCAACGAUGCAUAGCCGACGUGAGAGGGUGAUCGGCCACACUGGAACGGAGACACGGUCCAGACUCCUACGGGAGGCAGCAGUAGGGAAUCUUCCGCAAUGGGCGAAAGCCUGACGGAGCAACGCCGCGUGAGUGAUGAAGGUCUUCGGAUCGUAAAACUCUGUUAUUAGGGAAGAACAUAUGUGUAAGUAACUGUGCACAUCUUGACGGUACCUAAGCAGAAAGCCACGGCUAACUACGUG